Molecule: ribosomal RNA, 1354 nt
Filed under: metagenome
Description: bacterial LSU rRNA
Rfam family: Bacterial large subunit ribosomal RNA
Source: RNAcentral
UGAAUACGAAAUGCUACGGCAUUGAAGUGAUCUAUGCCAUGCUUCCAAGAAAAUCUCGUCAUAUCUUAAACAAUAGAUGCCUGUACCUUAAACCGACACAGGUAGGUAGGUAGAGUAUACCAAGGGGCGCGAGAUAACUCUCUCUAAGGAACUCGGCAAAAUAACCUCGUAACUUCGGAAGAAGAGGUACCCUUGAAAAAGGGUUGCAAUAACCAGACCCUGGCGACUGUUUACCAAAAACACAGGUCUCCGCUAAUUCGUAAGAUCAAGUAUGGAGGCUGACGCCUGCCCAGUGCCGGAAGGUUAAAGAAGUUGGUCAAUCUUUGGAUGAAGCUGGCGACUGAAGCCCCGGUGAACGGCGGCCGUAACAAUAACGGUCCUAAGGUAGCGAAGUUCCUUGUCGGGUAAGUUCCGACCCGCACGAAAGGCGUAACGAUCAGGGUGCUGUCUCGGAGAGAGACUCGGCGAAAUAAACAUGUCUGUGAAGAUGCGGACUACCUGCACCUGGACAGAAAGACCCUAUGAAGCUUUACUGUAUCUUGGAAUUGGGUUUGGGCCUUGCUUGCGCAGGAUAGGUGGGAGGCUAUGAAAAUAUUCUUGCGGGAAUGUUGGAGCCAACGGUGAGAUACCACUCUAGUAAGGCUAAAAUUCUAACUCUGAACCGUUAUCCGGUCAGAGAACAGUUUCAGGUGGGCAGUUUGACUGGGGCGGUCGCCUCCCUAAAGGUAACGGAGGCGCGCAAAGGUUCCCUCAGGCUGGUUGGACAUCAGUCGUAGAGUGUAAAGGCAUAAGGGAGCUUGACUGCGAGACCCACAAGUCGAGCAGAGACGAAAGUCGGCCUUAGUGAUCCGACGGUUCCACGUGGAAGGGCCGUCGCUCAACGGAUAAAAGUUACUCUAAGGACAACAGGCUGAUCUCCCCCAAGAGUUCACAUCGACGGGGAGGUUUGGCACCUCGAUGUCGGCUCAUCGCAUCCUGGGGCGGUAGUACGUCCCAAGGGUUGGGCUGUUCGCCCAUGAAAGCGGUACGCGAGCUGGGUUCAGAACGUCGUGAGACAGUUCGGUCCAUAUCCGGUGCAGGCGUUAGAGCAUUGAAAGGAGUCCCCCUUAGUACGAGAGGACCGGGGGGAAUACACCGCUGGUGUACCAGUUAUCGUGCCAACGGUAAACGCUGGGUAGCCAUGUGUAGCGUGGAUAACUGCUGAAAGCAUCUAAGUAGGAAGCCCACCUUAAGAUGAGUGCUCUCACCGCUAUAAGCGGGUAAGGUCACGGUAAGAACAACCGUUAUAUAGGCAUUAAGUAUACGUGCAGUAAUGCAUUUAGCUAAGAUGUACUAACAGACCGAGGGCUUGAUU